RNAcentral lists this ribosomal RNA (351 nucleotides) under Gibbocerambyx aurovirgatus. RNAcentral's name for it is "SSU rRNA". It matches the Rfam family "Eukaryotic small subunit ribosomal RNA", at positions 1175 to 1489 of the family's 1831-position model. RNAcentral also lists the same sequence under 2 other names. Lineage: Eukaryota; Metazoa; Arthropoda; Insecta; Coleoptera; Cerambycidae. The record is from RNAcentral.
AGUGGAGCCUGCGGCUUAAUUUGACUCAACACGGGAAACCUCACCAGGCCCGGACACCGGAAGGAUUGACAGAUUGAGAGCUCUUUCUUGAUUCGGUGGGUGGUGGUGCAUGGCCGUUCUUAGUUGGUGGAGCGAUUUGUCUGGUUAAUUCCGAUAACGAACGAGACUCUAGCCUGCUAACUAGGCGUAUUUCGACAUCCCAAAGGCCCGCCGGUUCGGGGUUUCCACUCCGUUCCGCGCGCGGUUUUUACUGUCGGCGUACAAACAAUUCUUCUUAGAGGGACAGGCGGCUCUUAGCCGCACGAGAUUGAGCAAUAACAGGUCUGUGAUGCCCUUAGAUGUUCUGGGCCG